GACGAACGCUGGCGGCGUGCUUAACACAUGCAAGUCGAACGCUGAAGCUCAGCUUUUGUUGGGUGGAUGAGUGGCGAACGGGUGAGUAACACGUGAGUAACCUGCCUCCUUCUUUGGGAUAACGCCCGGAAACGGGUGCUAAUACUGGAUAUUCACUGGUCUUCGCAUGGGGGUUGGUGGAAAGGGUUUUUCUGGUGGGGGAUGGGCUCGCGGCCUAUCAGCUUGUUGGUGGGGUGAUGGCCUACCAAGGCUUUGACGGGUAGCCGGCCUGAGAGGGUGACCGGUCACAGUGGGACUGAGAUACGGCCCAGACUCCUACGGUAGGCAGCAGUGGGGAAUAUUGCACAAUGGGCGCAAGCCUGAUGCAGCGACGCCGCGUGAGGGAUGGAGGCCUUCGGGUUGUGAACCUCUUUCGCUCAUGGUCAAGCCGCAACAAUGGUUGUGGUGAGGGUAGUGGGUAAAGAAGCGCCGGCUAACUACGU
This 482-nucleotide ribosomal RNA is filed under the name uncultured bacterium. Its description in RNAcentral is "partial 16S ribosomal RNA". It matches the Rfam family "Bacterial small subunit ribosomal RNA", at positions 28 to 506 of the family's 1533-position model. The record is from RNAcentral.